Molecule: ribosomal RNA, 223 nt
Filed under: uncultured bacterium
Lineage: Bacteria
Description: partial 16S ribosomal RNA
Rfam family: Bacterial small subunit ribosomal RNA
Source: RNAcentral
CGUAGGUAACCUGCCUCUUAGCGGGGGAUAACUAUUGGAAACGAUAGCUAAUACCGCAUAAAAGUCGAUAUCGCAUGAUAUUGAUUUGAAAGGUGCAAUUGCAUCACUAAGAGAUGGACCUGCGUUGUAUUAGCUAGUUGGUGAGGUAACGGUUCACCAAGGCGACGAUACAUAGCCGACCUGAGAGGGUGAUCGGCCACACUGGGACUGAGACACGGCCCAG